AUUUUCCGGUUGAUCCUGCCGGACCCGACUGCUAUUGGGGUGAGGCUAAGCCAUGCGAGUCAGCGCUCUAGAUGAGGAGGCGCGGCAUACGGCUCAGUAACAUGUGGUUAACCUACCCUCAGGACGGAGACAACCUCGGGAAACUGAGGCUAAUCCCAGAUAGAUGAUGGAUCCUGGAAUGGUUCUUCAUCCAAAAAAUAUGCAUUUCAUGCUAUGCAUGUUGCCUGAGGAUGGGACCGCACCCUAUCAGGUAGUUGGUGGGGUAAUGGCCCACCAAGCCUAUAACGGGUACGGGCCCUGAGAGGGGGAGCCCGGAGAUGGGCACUGAGACAAGGGCCCAGGCCCUACGGGGCGCAGCAGGCGCGGAACCUCUGCAAUGCGCGAAAGCGCGACAGGGCCACCCCGAGUGCUAUCCGCUGAGGGUAGCUUUUCCCUAGUGUAGUAAGCUAGGGGAAUAAGCGGGGGGCAAGCCUGGUGUCAGCCGCCGCGGUAAUACCAGCUCCGCGAGUGGUCGGGACGAUUAUUGGGCCUAAAAGCGUUCCGUAGCCGGGCUAUCAAGUCUUCUGGUUAAAUUUCAAGGCUUAACCUUUGAACAUGCUGGAGACACUGUUA
This 612-nucleotide ribosomal RNA is filed under the name uncultured archaeon. Its description in RNAcentral is "bacterial SSU rRNA". It matches the Rfam family "Archaeal small subunit ribosomal RNA", at positions 1 to 589 of the family's 1478-position model. The record is from RNAcentral.